GGGUUGUGAGGUUAAGCGACUAAGCGUACACGGUGGAUGCCCUGGCAGUCAGAGGCGAUGAAGGGCGUGCUAAUCUGCGAUAAGCGCCGGUAAGGUGAUAUGAACCGUUAUAACCGGCGAUACCCGAAUGGGGAAACCCAGUGUGAUUCGUCACACUAUCAUUAACUGAAUCCAUAGGUUAAUGAGGCGAACCGGGGGAACUGAAACAUCUAAGUACCCCGAGGAAAAGAAAUCAACCGAGAUUCCCCCAGUAGCGGCGAGCGAACGGGGAGGAGCCCAGAGCCUGAAUCAGCAUGUGUGUUAGUGGAAGCGUCUGGAAAGGCGCGCGAUACAGGGUGACAGCCCCGUACACAAAAGCGCAUGUGCUGUGAGCUCGAUGAGUAGGGCGGGACACGUGGUAUCCUGUCUGAAUAUGGGGGGACCAUCCUCCAAGGCUAAAUACUCCUGACUGACCGAUAGUGAACCAGUACCGUGAGGGAAAGGCGAAAAGAACCCCGGCGAGGGGAGUGAAAAAGAACCUGAAACCGUGUACGUACAAGCAGUGGGAGCACAGGUUUACCUGUGUGACUGCGUACCUUUUGUAUAAUGGGUCAGCGACUUAUAUUCUGUAGCAAGGUUAACCGUAUAGGGGAGCCGCAGGGAAACCGAGUCUUAAUUGGGCGUUAAGUUGCAGGGUAUAGACCCGAAACCCGGUGAUCUAGCCAUGGGCAGGUUGAAGGUUGGGUAACACUAACUGGAGGACCGAACCGACUAAUGUUGAAAAAUUAGCGGAUGACCUGUGGCU
Molecule: ribosomal RNA, 784 nt
Filed under: Salmonella enterica subsp. enterica serovar Derby
Lineage: Bacteria; Pseudomonadati; Pseudomonadota; Gammaproteobacteria; Enterobacterales; Enterobacteriaceae
Description: partial 23S ribosomal RNA
Rfam family: Bacterial large subunit ribosomal RNA
Source: RNAcentral